Molecule: unclassified non-coding RNA, 915 nt
Filed under: Hevea brasiliensis (rubber tree)
Lineage: Eukaryota; Viridiplantae; Streptophyta; Magnoliopsida; Malpighiales; Euphorbiaceae
Source: RNAcentral
AAUGGGUUCCUUCAGGCAAGUAUAUAAUCUUCAGAUUAGGGACAAACUCUUUAAGCUUCUCACCCUCUAUGUAGUCUUUUAUCCCUGUAAAUUUGAAGACAUAAUCUUUGGCUCCCAUGAUAAGUAGCGCUGGUACUUCAAUUUUAGGUUCUGUUAUGCUUAACUCUUCAUCAAAUGACCUGUAUGGAACCUUCAAAGCAGUUUGAAAACCAGAUUUCUCAUAUAAUGCUCCAUAUGUUGCAAGAUCUUCCUCAGUGAACCAAGGAGGAAGGGGAGUAGAAGGUUCUACUAAAUCCAUGAUUUCCUGGUUUUCAGCAGCUAUUGGUAUUUCACUUCUGGAGAACAGAAUGUAGAUGUUCCUCACCACCGUUUUAGCAUCAAACCGACCAAAAUCAGCUUCUGCUCGCCCAGGUUCCUGCCAUCUAUGAAUAUAGAAGCCUUCAGGAAGAUUGCUACUGGAUUGACUGUAUCGACCUCGGGGUCUGAGCGGUACUCCUAUUGUUACAACUCCUAAGACCCUCUCAGGAUGGAGAAGAGGAAACAUGGAGACAAGCCUGCCUCCAAAAUCUUUGGCAACAAGAACAACCUUGGUGAUUUCGAGUGAAUCCAGAAUUCCGAGAAGGUCGCUGACUAUAUCCCUGUACGUGGUCUUCUCGGGCUCGGGUGGAGUUUCGGACAGUCCGUAUCCUCUGUAAUCGGUUGCGAUAGCCCGGAACCCUGCGCUGGCUAGAGCAAUCAUCUGGUGACGCCACGAGUACCAUAUCUCGGGGAAUCCAUGCAAGAACAAGACCACUUUAGUACCUGUUCCGAUCUCGGCCACAUGAAGGUUUAGCCCUUGUACUUUGAUGUACUUGUGCUGAAUUUGGUCCAUUUGAUGUUUCAGCGAAUCAAACCAUGAACUUACUUGUGUGUGUG